This 35-nucleotide ribosomal RNA is filed under the name Pratylenchus kumamotoensis. RNAcentral's name for it is "partial 28S ribosomal RNA". The record is from RNAcentral. Lineage: Eukaryota; Metazoa; Nematoda; Chromadorea; Rhabditida; Pratylenchidae.
ACUCAGACGUGAGCACCCGCUGAACUUAAGCACAU